AAGAAUGAGAGUUAUGAUCAACUCAGUAUACCACUGGAGGCUACAGGAGCAAACAGCAAACUGUUUCUCAUGAAAGCAGGAUGUUCAAAGCAGGAUGUUGGCAAAAUGACAAACUGCAUCUGCCACCCAGAAGGAAUGCUGAGGGCAGUCAUGCCCCAAGUGCAGUGUUUUUGUGAUUAGGCACAACUGAAGCUUGUUAGCAAUAAUAUGACCCUGUGAUUAAUUGAGCGGCUGACCAAUCAUUACCUCCUCCUCCCUGCUCUUUCUACCCAAUAAAUACAAAGGGCUGUGGAAGCUCAAUGGGCUGCCUUUGCUCAUUAGAAGCAGGGAGCUCUCUUCUUCUUCCCCUGGAUCCUUCCUUUAAAAUAGUUUCUUUUGUCUUAAGUUUUCAUUUCUACGUUUGUCCCUUCAUUCAGUCUCUUAAAUGACGGUCUCAAGCAGUAACAGUAGUAAUUGCUGUAAUGACGGUCUCAAGUAGUAACCAGGGCACUCUGCCACAAGUGGCACCUGAACAGGGACUAACAGGGACUAUCAAGAACAAACGGAGACCUGAAGAGACCUGAAGGGAACUGAAGAGGUCUGCAGGGACAAAUAGAGAUAAGUAGGGAUAAAUAGAGAUAAAUAGAGACAAAUAGAGAUAGGUAAGGAAUGACAGGGACUUGCAGGAAGUAACAGGGACCAUAGGGACAGAUAGGGAUAGAUAAAGACUAGCAAAGACUAGCCGAGAUUAGCAAAGACCAGCAAGGACUAGCAGAGACUAGCAAAGACUAGCAGAAACUUGCAGGGACAGGCAGAGACAGAUAGGGACAGAUAGGGUCCUACAGGGACUUGAACGAGGAAGAUCUGCUGGAAAAGAAAAGAACUACAACCAACCAGAUGAACAAGAAACCCUGUUACAAGUCUGCUGGCAGCAACAUAAGGUGUGUACUACCAUGGAAUGGGAGAUUGGAGGGACACAUGGAUCCCAACCGUGGGCCUGGUUCCCCCAGUAUGAGCUGAAUACGAAGACAGAACAAACCACCAACCGGCAAUUGAAGUAAAUGAUAGCUCCUUACAAAUACAGAGGACAAAAUAAAAGUGACUUAAUUAUAAAAACACAGUGACACAAAGUGAACCGGGUUCUAUAAAUUACCAUGGAAAGUGGUGAGCCAACGAUUUGGCAGAACAAAACCCUGAGGAUAUGCAAACAAAAGGGACUAUGGAAUUUGCAAUUGCAGAUUAAAAUUGAAGAAGAAAACAUUUGAGUUGCAAAUACCGUAUUAAAAGUGGACACUGCUUAUGACUGCUGUAUGCAACAGUUUUUCAGGCCCGAGGUGAUAAAUAAAAAAUUGUUUGCUCUAUUUAA
Molecule: long non-coding RNA, 1345 nt
Filed under: Homo sapiens (human)
Lineage: Eukaryota; Metazoa; Chordata; Mammalia; Primates; Hominidae
Description: HSALNT0376734
Source: RNAcentral